CAUCUUUUCUCUCUCUCUCUCUUUUUCUCAUCUCUUCUUCCUCUCCUAAAUACCCCUUUGUAUUGUAGGACCCUACAAGUAUAACCAUUGUUAAGGAUUAUAAAGUGAUAAACGAUGUAUUGUCAGAGUUUAGGAAGAUGCAACAAAGGUUUGAUCUUUAAUUAUGGGUUUGAUUCUUACAAGUUUGUACUAUUAUCUUUUUUCGAUUUAAUUUCUAGAUGUAAUUCUUUAAUUUCUUUAAUUUUUAGGGUUAAUUUUUGGGUUUAAUCUCUGAGUUUAACUUGAAAAUGUUUAGUUUCUCUAAUUUUUGGAUUUAAUUCUCAAUUUGGUAAUAUGAAAUCCAUAUUUGGAAUUGAAUUAUUGUCAACAUGAACAAUAUAUGGCUAGUACCUUCAAUCAAAUUGCUCCCAAAGUAUAAUGUUAUUCUUGAUAAAGUUGAAACUUUUGGUUCUCUAGCAAGGAACACUUACCAUUUGAAGAAUUUGCAGGGCCACUUAUUUCAAAAUCCAUGGACCUAGACCCUCUAAUAUCAUGGCAAGUGUAUGUAUUCCGGUAUAAAUCAGUUUCAAGGAGAAAUAUUGAGUUGCAUGCAUUUAGAUCACUGUCGGAGCGAUUCAAGAAUGGAUUUAUUCUCAAGAAUAAUUUUGUCAUCAACAAACCACCAUUGUCGAAGCUUGAUGGAUUUUAAUGGGUUUUCUAGUUCUUAAUGGAUCAUUUUUCUUUUCUUUAAUUUUUAUCUUUUGUUUUAUUAAUUUUCUAGAGUUUAAUAUUAUUAAUAGGUUCUUGAUCCAAUUUUCUAUUUCGAUAUUUGUUCUUAUGGAGUCAAUUUUUCUAUUAUAACAGUUUUGUUCUUGAUGAAUUGUUGCAUUAUUAUGUGUAUCUUAAUUUUUUGGGUUAAUUUUUCUAGAAUUGAAUAUUUAUACGUUGUUCUCUUCUUCUUCUUUUCGAAAAAUUUUUAAGUUUGCAUUUUUAUUAGUGUUUGAUGGGUUUAUGGUUCUUGAAUAGCUCAUAAGACCCAUAUCUCAGAGAGAGGCAGCAAGAUUGCUAAUUUUGACUUCUGAAGCUGGCUUGGAGUUUUUUAUCGGUAAUUUGACACUAAUUUAUUGGUAAUUUGUCACUAAAUUUCAUUAUUUACCUCCUACAUUUCUACCUAAAAUUUUAAAAUUUUUUAAAGAUUUGUCAGUAUUUUGUCGCUAAUUGAUCAAUAAUUUGACGAUAAAUUCUCAAAAUAUAUGCGUAUUUACGCCGCAAUUUUUAUUGACAAAAUUGAUAUUUGUCGCUAAAUUUUAUCGGUAAUUUAUCACUAAUUUGUUAAAAAAUUAGGCAGCAAUAUUAGGCGCUCUUAUUAGCAAAAAAAUUCAAUAUUAUCGGUAAAUUGAUGGUAUUUUGUUGAUGAUAUUAAACAAUCUUUUUUAUUUUAAAAUUAAAUUUUGUUGGUUAUUUGUGCUAAAUACCAACAAAAACCUUUUGUCAGUAAAUUUUGUCUGUGCACACUAAUUUUCUUAUGGUGAUAGGAGGUUGUUGGGCAGCAAGAAAUAGAGAUUAAAAAGGUUAAUUCCUCAAAGUUCAGGUCAAAUUUAGCUUAUUUGGCAAAUUUAAACUAAAAAUGUCACAAAUGUCACACCUUACUUCACUGUAAAAUAUAGCAUAUCGCCCGUAAUAUGUCUAUUAAGCACUUAUUUUGCAUAAGAACUCAAUAAACAUACUACAAGGGACUUAAAUAAAAUAAUUUAAAAACAUAUCUUUUUAUUCGUUAAUUUAUUAAUGGAAAACAAUACUUAGAAACAUUUUCAAAAACUCUUUUUGUAUUUUAAAAUAUAUGCUUACAUAUAUAAGGAAAGAUAAAUUAUAAUAUCAUAAAUUUUGAAUUUUAUAAUCAACGUAAAUGGUUCCAUAACCCAUAAACCCAAUUGAAAUGUAGUUAUAUACCGGACCGAUUUCAUUUUCAUAAAUAAAUAAUAAUAAAGGUAUAUAUAUAUUUCGUAUGUCUUAAGCUAGUAUAUAUAUAUAUAAUUUCAAAAAAGAAACAAUAUACACCAUAGUUAUAAUAAUAGUUCUUUUAUGUACGAUAAACAAAAAGAAACCCCAUAAUUAGCAGGAUUCACUCUCUUGCUUUCUUUUUUUUCUUUUCCCGGUGAUAGUACAGAAAAAAGUAUCACUAAGCAAAUUGCUUAAUGGUGCAUAUAUGUAAAAUUAAAUGAAAAUUCACAUUUUUCCAAUAUAACAAUAAUUGUAAAUAAAAUUUCGUAUGAAAACACUUUUUCAGAUAUUCUUACUUUAAAAUCAAGUUCUCUUAAAACCUAAUGAAGAGUUUUAGAAGAAGGCACUUUAAUAAUAACAAUAGAAAUUCCUUACUUAAAAUUCAAUAGAUGCUCUACAUAAAAAUGAUAGAAUAGCAUCAAUACAAUUUCAAGAAAACAUCCAUUCAAGAACUUGAUAAUAUCCAAUUUAGUCUCAACAAUCUAAAUAGACUCAAUCCGAAGAGUUAUCAGUGUCCUAUGAGUUCAUCAAGAUAAAGUAUCUCAAUCUUAAUAUGUGAUUUUUUUAUCUCAACAGAGGGACAAUCCCGGCCUCAUCUAGGAGGGAAUAAUGUCAUUUGCAAUUUCAUUUACAAUAUCAAUCACAAUAUCAACUUCAACAAAUAAAGUGAUAUCGAUAAUAACCAUGUCUAUUAAUUGCUGUGAGACUAUAAACUAUUUCAUAUAUUAACCAUAAUUGAAAACACAUUGUGUAACAAUCCAUUUUUCACAAACACUUCUAAAAAUAUUCAUUUACGGUCACCCCUCAUACAACAAAUAACAUGUGGCCAACAUUCUCCUUUCCAUACAAAUAGAUUUUCAAUUUAACUAUAAGAAUCAUCUAAAAAAUCAUAUCAUAUCAAAUCAUACUUCUUUUCUUUCAAAAUCCAUAAAACCCUUAUUCUAAUAUUUCCUUUUGAUUCAUAAGCCUCUUUAUGAAAUUAAAUAUGAAAUCAAAUACAUUUCGAUUUGAAAGAAAAUAAGAAAGGAGCAAUGCACUAACCUGAGUUGAAAAACUCCCCUAGCCUUUCUUCUCUAUUUAUUGACUCUUAAACCAUUUCUGUGGCUUAUCUCAACAUAUAAUCAAAUUACACAAUACAUUUUAAUUCUUGUUUACAGCUCUUUAUUGAUAUUUAAAUUCUUAUUAUUUUUAUUUUAGUUUACAUUUAUAUUUCAUCUCAUUAAUACCAUAAAUUUAUAUUCUUAACCAGACUAAUUAAUUUAAAUCUUUCAUAAUCUUAUUUAUCACUUCGAAAUCCAUAUUUCUUUAUAUAUAUUUAAAUUCAUUUAUUUUGUUUAAUGACUAGAGAUAACAUUAGGCUUACUUAAAUAUAUUUAUCAAAAUCAUUUGGCUACUUUACUUUCUUUAAAAAAUCUUACUUUAUAAAAAUAUCAUACUUUACAAACCAUUUGACUAAACUUGAUUUUAUCUAACAAAUUCUAUUUUAUUUUUCAAUUAAAUUUGAUAAUUUCUUUUUAAAUUCCAUUAAAACAAAAGCUUAGCUUAUUUAUUAUAUAUAUAUAUAUAUAUAUAUAUAUAUAUAUAUAUAUAUAUNNNNNNNNNNNNNNNNNNNNNNNNNNNNNNNNNNNNNNNNNNNNNNNUUUUUUUUUUUUUUGUCAAAUAAAUGUAACAAGAUUUUACAAUAAAAAUCCUUGGUUUCUUUACCUUGUUUUUUCUUAAAAUAUCACUUAAAAUUACAUUUUCAAAUACUUUAUUAAAUUUAAUCAAAUACAAAUACAAAUUUUGCAUUUAUUAAACUAUCUUAUUCUUUCAUUAAUUUAUUUCCUUCCUAAUAACGCAAUUUGUUAUUUUAUACAAUAAAUUUAAUUCUUGAAUAAACCUUUCUUUUUGUCAAAAAAUCCAAUAGCAUUUUAUUUAUAAUUUGAUAUGUCUGAAUUUUAUAUAUCACAAUAAUUUUUGUUAAAAAAAUCCAAUAGCAUUUUAUUUAUAAUUUGAUCUGUCUGAAUUUCAUAUAUCACAUCCAUUCGACACUUCACAAUAAUUUCCUAUCCGCCGUUCUUAAUAUUUCUUUCUCUCUUUGAUUAACUCAUUAAUAGACCUAAUUGUCCUUAAUUUCAAUUUCACACAUUUUACAAAUUCUUGCCAUCUUCAAUCGAUAAUUUAUAAUCUGUUAAUUUCUUUUGAUUACUGGAAAUUAAUUACUACAUUAAUUUCACACCACUAACUUAAUUAUUUUAAUCAAUACUAAUAAAUUUCCAAUUUAUGAUUUACACUGAAAUUACUGAAUUAAACUUUGAAGUAUACCUACCAAUUGCAAAUUCAGAGUUCGGAUUCAGAACUAGCACGAGAAGAGGGUGAUUCUGGCUCCCGGGGCCCAGCCGGGGUCUCGCAGGCUGGUGACCGACCUCCGCCGUCCACGAUGGCCGGAAAAUCCAAACAGCCCUGAAUUCGCAAGGACACCUCCACCUGACUCAAAUUUCGCUAAAGAUUCCAUUUCUGGCGUCAAUUGAGCGAGAUCGGACCUCUAACUUGUCGGAUUGGGUUCUGUAUCUCCACCGCUUGUGGUGGUUUCAUCCUCAAUGCUCCGUGGCCAGAAUCGAUGGAGGGAAAAUAGUCGUGUGAAGGAGAGGAGUCGACCGGUGCCUUCCCUUAACGCUAGAACUUCCGGAAACGGCGUGGAUCACCGGAAAACCUCAUCGCGUGACAUCGCUCGAAUUUCAGUCACGUUCUUUCUCGUUUCAGGCUUCUACCUCCCAAAUCAAGACCACAGGCGAGUUCCUAUCGUUGCGAAGAUGAAGUUGGAGUGCUUUAUUGCCGGGUUUCAUGGCCGGUGGCCUAAAAAUGAACGGGGGCAGGGGAGGGGAACGGAAAAGGAGAGAGGGAGAGUGAGUUUUGUUUCCUUUUUAUCUUUUCUUGUCUUCUUUAUUUCUUUUCUUUUAACUCUCUUUUAAUUUCUUUAUACAUUUAUUUUAGUAAUAACAAAAUCACCUGAAGCUUGUUGUUUAUGUAAAAACUGAUCAAUUAGUUUUAUAGCAUCUGUUGCUAUACAAAUAUAUAAAAAUUAUCUUUUACCUUGUAAUGGUUCUUAUAGGUUUAUUCAAACUUUCCUUAUCAAUGUCAUCUGCUCCUGUUAUUUUCUCCACCGUAACUCUUCCAUCUCUAUAUCUAUAUUAGAUUCAAUAUUCUUUCAUCUUUCUCUUGAUUAUUCUAAAAAUAUCAUAACUCGACUCUCUCUAAAUCUUACUUGGUUCGACGGUCAGCAAAUUAAU
Molecule: long non-coding RNA, 5249 nt
Filed under: Jatropha curcas
Lineage: Eukaryota; Viridiplantae; Streptophyta; Magnoliopsida; Malpighiales; Euphorbiaceae
Description: long non-coding RNA (JCUR_LNC002356)
Source: RNAcentral